RNAcentral lists this ribosomal RNA (253 nucleotides) under uncultured bacterium. RNAcentral's name for it is "partial 16S ribosomal RNA". It matches the Rfam family "Bacterial small subunit ribosomal RNA", at positions 524 to 776 of the family's 1533-position model. The record is from RNAcentral.
GACGUAGGGCGCGAGCGUUGUCCGGAUUUAUUGGGCGUAAAGAGCUCGUAGGCGGCUCAUUGCGUCAACCGUGAAAACCAGCAGCUCAACUGUUGGCUUGCGGUUGAUACGGGUGGGCUGGAGUUCGGUAGGGGAGACUGGAAUCCCUGGUGUAGCGGUGAAAUGCGCAGAUAUCAGGAGGAACACCGGUGGCGAAGGCGGGUCUCUGGGCCGAUACUGACGCUGAGGAGCGAAAGCGUGGGGAGCGAACAGG